Molecule: long non-coding RNA, 430 nt
Organism: Patella vulgata (common limpet)
Lineage: Eukaryota; Metazoa; Mollusca; Gastropoda; Patellidae
Exons: 5
Source: RefSeq, a predicted model, not a curated record
AUAAGAUACUGCAUAUAUUUGUAAGAACGAAAGUUGGCUGUAGAAUAAUGUUAAGAAUAGCCGUUAUAUUCGUGUUAUUACCAACAACUUGGGCAGCUACCAUACAUUUGUAUGUUAGUCCACAGGGUUCAGAUACCAACACCGGGUUAGACCCUUCCACGCCACUAAAAACACUACAAAGAGCACGGGAUAGAAUUGAUGAACCUGAAAUCCUGGGAAACGAGAUAUACGUAGAGCUGAUGUCUGGAUAUCACGAUUUACUGAUACCCUUGAAUCUCACCCAUGGUUAUACAGCAUUGGUUACAUUCAGGUCGUAUCAGCACGAAGAAGUGCAUGUGACUGGUGGUAAAAGAAUAACACCCAGUCUUUUUCAACCAGUAACAGAUCCUGUCAUUCUUAAAAGAAUCCCAGAAGAAGCCCAUGAAAAGGU